CCGAGCCACUGCUAUGGGGUCCGACUAAGCCAUGCGAGUCAUGGGGCGCGCUCUGCGCGCACCGGCGGACGGCUCAGUAACACGUCGGUAACCUACCCUCGGGAGGGGGAUAACCCCGGGAAACUGGGGCUAAUCCCCCAUAGGCCUGAGGUACUGGAAGGUCCUCAGGCCGAAAGGGGCAUCUGCCCGCCCGAGGAUGGGCCGGCGGCCGAUUAGGUAGUUGGUGGGGUAACGGCCCACCAAGCCGAAGAUCGGUACGGGCCAUGAGAGUGGGAGCCCGGAGAUGGACACUGAGACACGGGUCCAGGCCCUACGGGGCGCAGCAGGCGCGAAACCUCCGCAAUGCGGGCAACCGCGACGGGGGGACCCCCAGUGCCGUGGCAUCGCCACGGCUUUUCCGGAGUGUAAAAAGCUCCGGGAAUAAGGGCUGGGCAAGGCCGGUGGCAGCCGCCGCGGUAAUACCGGCGGCCCGAGUGGUGGCCGCUAUUAUUGGGCCUAAAGCGUCCGUAGCCGGGCCCGUAAGUCCCUGGCGAAAUCCCACGGCUCAACCGUGGGGCUUGCUGGGGAUACUGCGGGCCUUGGGACCGGGAGAGGCCGGGGGUACCCCUGGGGUAGGGGUGAAAUCCUAUAAUCCCAGGGGGACCGCCAGUGGCGAAGGCGCCCGGCUGGAACGGGUCCGACGGUGAGGGACGAAGGCCAGGGGAGCGAACCGGAUUAGAUACCCGGGUAGUCCUGGCUGUAAAGGAUGCGGGCUAGGUGUCGGGCGAGCUUCGAGCUCGCCCGGUGCCGAAGGGAAGCCGUUAAGCCCGCCGCCUGGGGAGUACGGCCGCAAGGCUGAAACUUAAAGGAAUUGGCGGGGGAGCACUACAAGGGUGG
RNAcentral lists this ribosomal RNA (876 nucleotides) under Thermococcus sp. Tc85_10. Its description in RNAcentral is "bacterial SSU rRNA". It matches the Rfam family "Archaeal small subunit ribosomal RNA", at positions 18 to 890 of the family's 1478-position model. The record is from RNAcentral. Lineage: Archaea; Methanobacteriati; Methanobacteriota; Thermococci; Thermococcales; Thermococcaceae.